GCUGUCAGUCGUAUUGUUGACUAGGGGCCGGAGUGACACUGGCCCCCCGAAGCGUCCACCUGAUAUAGCAGUGAAAGAUCACAGACAUGGACUUUCAGCCUGGUCCAAACUUGAGAAAACUGUCUAAGCUGAAAAGAUCAGCAUGUACAAUUUCCAAAGCAACAGCGAUUCACCACAGCCAGACUCCCAGGAGGCCGCGGGUGUCUGGACAUGAUGUCACACCUCUAACAUCUUCUAGCCUCUGCUACCUGAAAGUGACAGCUCUUCGCUUCUUCACGGUGAAGAGAAAGCAGGUGUGGAACGGAUCAGCACUCAGUACUGUAUAGAGAGGAGGUGCUGCAGGUACAAGUGGAGCCGCGGUUUCACCUAAAAGCAGAAAGAGCGUCCCAGAGGUCCCUCGACAUCCCCCGCAUGUCUUUUCUCUCUUCCCUCCUUCUUUCUCUCGCCUCAGUGAAGCCGUCCGAUCGCGUUAGCCUCAUCUCAGUGCUAAAACACUCUCUCUGCGCCCCCUCUGUCCUCUGUGCUGUUGCCGGCCUCAUUUCCACCAAACAGAAACACUUUGAAAAUCUCUCUGAACAGGAAAAAUCGUGGGCCUCACUUCCUGCACUGGGUUUGUGUUUGAUAACGCUCAAGACAACAUAAUGCCAAUAAUGACACAAAAUGACUCCAGUGAUUCUGUAAUUAGCUUGUGGAUCUGUUCACAUUACGGUCAUGUUCUGGUCUUUAAAGCUAGUCAGCGUUUUUCAGGGUGUUACCAAAUGCAGAGCUGAUUAAUCAGUAGAGAUCAUCUCCAACAGCCACGUCAUGGUUACAAGACUACAUAAAUCACAGAUACCUGGACAGGAAAGCAGAAAUCUGAUUUUCUGUGUAUAUUCGUAUCAAAAACUUAUGGCACAAAACUGAUGUAAUCAG
Long non-coding RNA from Sinocyclocheilus grahami, 912 nucleotides. RefSeq lists it as uncharacterized. The transcript has 3 exons. NCBI's taxonomy places the organism in Eukaryota, Metazoa, Chordata, Actinopteri, Cypriniformes, Cyprinidae. The record is from RefSeq and is a predicted model, not a curated record.